Molecule: long non-coding RNA, 2115 nt
Organism: Cynoglossus semilaevis (tongue sole)
Lineage: Eukaryota; Metazoa; Chordata; Actinopteri; Pleuronectiformes; Cynoglossidae
Exons: 6
Source: RefSeq, a predicted model, not a curated record
AAAAAAAGGAUGUGAAUGUCGGCGGUCAACUGUAGGGGCGCGCUGAUAUUGAAACGUUUGUAUAACGGAAAUAGGAAUACUUUGUACGGUCCUUAUUUCCGGUUGCAGAUCCGGCGCAUGAGACACCAAUGUUAGCCGUUUGGGCUUCCAGCGGGCGUUCAAGUCGAAAAAACCUGGGCACGGUGGCUACAUGUCGUUGAUUGAAAUGAACACGCGGGUUCCAUUUCAGCUGCAACAUCAUGUUUUCCACAGACAAGCAGAUGGGCUAUCAGUGUUUCAUGAAGUUGUUCGACCUGAGGGAUCCGCAGAUCGGUGCUUAUGGGAGGUGGGCAGGAGGCCAUGGAAGUGACCACAGGAUUGGGAAGUUUGAGGCCAGGUUCUACCAAGCAGUGUACGAGGAGGAGUUUGGCAGGAGUCAAAGGUCAUUGUGGUCCCAUCAACCGUGUGGCUUUCCACCCUGACAACAAAAAUGCAAUGGAGGAGAAGAAUUGUGAAUACAGCAGCUAGGACUCUGCCAGGGAGAGUGGAGAAGCAACAAUUUGAAGCAGAUCCUUCAGCGUGGAGCCAGAUUGGGCUGCUUCAAUGUCACCAUUAAAAGACUUGACCGUUGGAAUAGAUGAAGGUUUGUUAUGGAGCGAGGUGUGCAGUACCGACCGAAGAGGGGACAUGUUAUUUCCAAGAGCUGUUGCAGUGGUGUCCGAAGGACCGAUGAGGAAUGACGUGACGCUCCUGUCGUCUGACUGCUGGUACCUGACGGUGUAGCGGCUGGGCGAGCAGUGGGCCGAGGAAAGUUCAGUUUGCACGCUUCCUCCUGGAGACAAAAUGGUGCAAAAUGACAUGGUGUAAUUUGUAAAGGCUUUCUGUUGUUGUAUCAGUAAAUAUGAAUGACUUGACUCUGUAUCACUGUUUGUUGGAUGAGUUUUUAUUGGCUGUGUAGAAGUCAACAUGAGCGGACCGAUUGGUGAAAUGAAUGUGAUUGUAUUACUUAUUCAAAAGAGUCGGAAUACAAGUAACCAACUGGCUCGGUUGAGUUAGUUUGUUUGUGUUGUAGGAUGACAGUAGUAUUUGUGGAAUGGUGAAGGUUUUCAUGAUUUCAGGGUAGUUGUCUGAGGAAUGUGUGCGAAUGCAGUGGAGAAGCAGUUUGGUGAAUGGAGGUUUGUCGUCAGGGGUGUAGACAAAUGUGUAAUUGUAAGGCAAAUGUGGUGUUAAUGUAGAAAGGGGGGGUGAGGAGGAGGAAGAGAGUUAGGAUUGAAGUGUAUGUGAGGACUCCAUCCGUUUUAGGUGUGUGGUAUAUCAAGCAGAAGUAGUGUUAGAGGGGAGAUAGUCGAAUGAGGUUGUUGGGUGCGUGCUACGUAAAAGUGGGGCUUUUAAGCCAGAUCUAGAGUGGUGUGUGACGGAGGAGACGGCAGUGAUAGUGCAGUAAAUAAGACGGUGCGGUGUUGCCGCUGCGAUAAUGUGAAAGUCUCCUUUGGCGUUGUCCCUUUUUCAGGGGUUGCAGUCAUUGGGAUGACUUAAUUCGUGAUCCUUGUCACUCCUGAAGUGAAUGUUGGCAUGUGUUAAUGGCCAGCUCCUGUCUAUAAACGUGUGCACCGUAGCUGAUGCUGUUCUAUGACGGAUUGGUGUAGCGCAGGGGUGUAACUGUUAAAACGAUGGGGGUAAAGUGAGGUAUGUGUAUGGAAAACUUUGAAUAUGUGUUCAGUGAUAUGAAGUGAAUAUGUAAUGGUAUAUGUGAUAGGGAAUAUAAGUUGUACCGACGUAGAUUACGCUUAGUGAUGAGCGGGGUGAAGUGGGGAAAAAUUUGAAAUAGUUAAUGUUUAAAGUGUAACAGGUGUUGAUGUCGCAGAAAUCCGUGAGAGGUGUACAGGUAGAUCGUGAUCGCCAUUGUAAGAUGAGUAUUUAACUGUUCAGCCGUGUGGAUUAUGUGUUGGUACGACUGAGCUUCAUUUGUGUAGCGCAGUGGUUGUCAAAUGUUUGUAUGCCUUGUACCAGCUGAGAGAUGCCGAAGUAGUAGCAGUGCACUGCGUUUGAGAUGUAUUGAGUGGAACAUAGGUGUCAAUGUCAAGGCCCGGGGGCCAAGUGCAGCUUGCCAAGCUGUGGGCCGCGGAAGCGUAAAAA